Molecule: ribosomal RNA, 778 nt
Filed under: uncultured Neocallimastigales
Lineage: Eukaryota; Fungi; Neocallimastigomycota; Neocallimastigomycetes; Neocallimastigales
Description: partial large subunit ribosomal RNA
Rfam family: Eukaryotic large subunit ribosomal RNA
Source: RNAcentral
CAUAGCGACUAUCGUGGCAUAUCAAUAAGCGGAGGAAAAGAAACUAACAAGGAUUCCCUUAGUAACGGCGAGUGAAGCGGGAAGAGCUCAAAUUUGAAAUCUUCAAGGUUCUACCUUGACGAAUUGUAGUUUAUAGAAGUGUUUUCUGUUAGUAGAGUGGCAAAAGUUCUUUGGAAUAGGACAUCAUAGAGGGUGAGAAUCCCGUAUUUGGUCAUUCUUUCUAGCUUUGUGAUACACUUUCAAAGAGUCGGAUUGUUUGGGAAUGCAGUCCAAAAUGGGUGGUAAAUUUCAUCUAAAGCUAAAUAUUGGCGAGAGACCGAUAGCGAACAAGUACCGUGAGGGAAAGAUGAAAAGAACUUUGAAAAGAGAGUUAAACAGCACGUGAAAUUGUCAAAAGGGAAGCGUUUGACACCAGUGUUGUUUUUCCGAAAAUCAAUUACGAAUGUUUUAGUUUUUAAGGAGUUAUGACUUCAUCGGCUUGCUUCUCUCUUUAUGAAACCUUCUUAAUGCACUUUUCGGUUAACAAGUCAACAUCAAUUUCUUUUGUUGUAAAAGGGUCAUGAGGAAGGUGGCUUUCUUUUCGGAGAAAGUGUUUAUAGCCUUGUAUCCUCUGCAAUCGGAGAGAUUGAGGUCUGCAGCGUAGACUCCUUCGGGGUUAAAUACAUUUGUGCUAAGUUAUAGCUUUUCAUAGACAACUUGUUGACUAUAUUUAGUCUUGUAGCUUACUCGCUUAUGCUAUUUUACCUACGCUUAGGAUGUUGAUAUGCAUGACUGAUAU